RNAcentral lists this transfer RNA (77 nucleotides) under Faecalispora sporosphaeroides. RNAcentral describes it as "tRNA-Arg". It matches the Rfam family "tRNA". Rfam says of the family: Transfer RNA (tRNA) molecules are approximately 80 nucleotides in length. Their secondary structure includes four short double-helical elements and three loops (D, anti-codon, and T loops). Further hydrogen bonds mediate the characteristic L-shaped molecular structure. tRNAs have two regions of fundamental functional importance: the anti-codon, which is responsible for specific mRNA codon recognition, and the 3' end, to which the tRNAs corresponding amino acid is attached (by aminoacyl-tRNA synthetases). tRNAs cope with the degeneracy of the genetic code in two manners: having more than one tRNA (with a specific anti-codon) for a particular amino acid; and 'wobble' base-pairing, i.e. permitting non-standard base-pairing at the 3rd anti-codon position. RNAcentral also lists the same sequence under 3 other names. The record is from RNAcentral. Lineage: Bacteria; Bacillati; Bacillota; Clostridia; Eubacteriales; Oscillospiraceae.
GUCUCCGUAGCUCAGCUGGAUAGAGCGUUCGCCUCCUAAGCGAAAGGCCGCGCGUUCAAAUCGCGCCGGGGACGCCA